Molecule: unclassified non-coding RNA, 370 nt
Filed under: soil metagenome
Description: partial contains 5.8S ribosomal RNA, internal transcribed spacer 2, and large subunit ribosomal RNA
Rfam family: 5.8S ribosomal RNA (bases 1-120)
Source: RNAcentral
GAUGAAGAACGUAGCGAAAUGCGAUACGUAAUGUGAAUUGCAGAAUUCAGCGAACCAUCGAAUCUUUGAACGCACAUUGCGCCCGCCAGUAUUCUGGCGGGCAUGCCUGUCCGAGCGUCAUUACCCCCCUCACGCGCCCCGUUGCGCGCUGGUGUUGGGGCUCCUCCGCCUGGCGGAGGGCCCCGAAAGCGAGUGGCGGGCCCGGCUGGUUGGCUCCGAGCGCAGUACCGAACGCAAGUUCUCCCCUCGCUCAGACGCCCCGCCGGCGCCCUGCCGUCAAAACGCGCAUGACGUGCAACUCUUUUUACAAGGUUGACCUCGGAUCAGGUAGGACUACCCGCUGAACUUAAGCAUAUCAAUAAGCGGAGGA